GAUGAACGCUGGCGGCGUGCCUAAUACAUGCAAGUCGAGCGAACAGAUGAGGAGCUUGCUCCUCUGACGUUAGCGGCGGACGGGUGAGUAACACGUGGAUAACCUACCUAUAAGACUGGGAUAACUUCGGGAAACCGGAGCUAAUACCGGAUAAUAUAUUGAACCGCAUGGUUCAAUAGUGAAAGACGGUUUUGCUGUCACUUAUAGAUGGAUCCGCGCCGCAUUAGCUAGUUGGUAAGGUAACGGCUUACCAAGGCAACGAUGCGUAGCCGACCUGAGAGGGUGAUCGGCCACACUGGAACGGAGACACGGUCCAGCCUCCUACGGGAGGCAGCAGUAGGGAAUCUUCCGCAAUGGGCGAAAGCCUGACGGAGCAACGCCGCGUGAGUGAUGAAGGUCUUCGGAUCGUAAAACUCUGUUAUUAGGGAAGAACAAAUGUGUAAGUAACUAUGCACGUCUUGACGGUACCUAAUCAGAAAGCCACGGCUAACUACGUG
This 497-nucleotide ribosomal RNA is filed under the name uncultured bacterium. Its description in RNAcentral is "partial 16S ribosomal RNA". It matches the Rfam family "Bacterial small subunit ribosomal RNA", at positions 28 to 507 of the family's 1533-position model. The record is from RNAcentral.